CUGCGGCAGCGAACGUAUCACCCAAGACAACUUUACGGAGUUGACGAUUGACGGAGCGAAGCGACGUCAAAGCGUUCAUUAAAGUCGAGUUGGCUUAGGGAUACGUUCGUUGGGUAGGGGAGCGUUCUGUAAGCCUGUGAAGGUGUGUCGUGAGGCAUGCUGGAGGUAUCAGAAGUGCGAAUGCUGACAUAAGUAACGAUAAAGCGGGUGAAAAGCCCGCUCGCCGGAAGACCAAGGGUUCCUGUCCAACGUUAAUCGGGGCAGGGUGAGUCGACCCCUAAGGCGAGGCCGAAAGGCGUAGUCGAUGGGAAACGGGUUAAUAUUCCCGUACUUGGUGUUACUGCGAAGGGGGGACGGAGAAGGCUAUGUUGGCCGGGCGACGGUUGUCCCGGUUUAAGCGUGUAGGUGUGUGUUCCAGGUAAAUCCGGUUCACUUUAACACUGAGGCGUGAUGACGAGGCACUACGGUGCUGAAGCAACAAAUGCCCUGCUUCCAGGAAAAGCCUCUAAGCAUCAGGUAACAUCAAAUCGUACCCCAAACCGACACAGGUGGUCAGGUAGAGAAUACCAAGGCGCUUGAGAGAACUCGGGUGAAGGAACUAGGCAAAAUGGUGCCGUAACUUCGGGAGAAGGCACGCUGACACGUAGGUGAAGUGAUUUACUCAUGGAGCUGAAGUCAGUCGAAGAUACCAGCUGGCUGCAACUGUUUAUUAAAAACACAGCACUGUGCAAACACGAAAGUGGACGUAUACGGUGUGACGCCUGCCCGGUGCCGGAAGGUUAAUUGAUGGGGUCAGCGCAAGCGAAGCUCCUGAUCGAAGCCCCGGUAAACGGCGGCCGUAACUAUAACGGUCCUAAGGUAGCGAAAUUCCUUGUCGGGUAAGUUCCGACCUGCACGAAUGGCGUAAUGAUGGCCAGGCUGUCUCCACCCGAGACUCAGUGAAAUUGAACUCGCUGUGAAGAUGCAGUGUACCCGCGGCAAGACGGAAAGACCCCGUGAACCUUUACUAUAGCUUGACACUGAACAUUGAGCCUUGAUGUGUAGGAUAGGUGGGAGGCUUUGAAGUGUGGACGCCAGUCUGCAUGGAGCCGACCUUGAAAUACCACCCUUUAAUGUUUGAUGUUCUAACGUGGACCCGUAAUCCGGGUUGCGGACAGUGUCUGGUGGGUAGUUUGACUGGGGCGGUCUCCUCCUAAAGAGUAACGGAGGAGCACGAAGGUUGGCUAAUCCUGGUCGGACAUCAGGAGGUUAGUGCAAUGGCAUAAGCCAGCUUGACUGCGAGCGUGACGGCGCGAGCAGGUGCGAAAGCAGGUCAUAGUGAUCCGGUGGUUCUGAAUGGAAGGGCCAUCGCUCAACGGAUAAAAGGUACUCCGGGGAUAACAGGCUGAUACCGCCCAAGAGUUCAUAUCGACGGCGGUGUUUGGCACCUCGAUGUCGGCUCAUCACAUCCUGGGGCUGAAGUAGGUCCCAAGGGUAUGGCUGUUCGCCAUUUAAAGUGGUACGCGAGCUGGGUUUAGAACGUCGUGAGACAGUUCGGUCCCUAUCUGCCGUGGGCGCUGGAGAACUGAGGGGGGCUGCUCCUAGUACGAGAGGACCGGAGUGGACGCAUCACUGGUGUUCGGGUUGUCAUGCCAAUGGCACUGCCCGGUAGCUAAAUGCGGAAGAGAUAAGUGCUGAAAGCAUCUAAGCACGAAACUUGCCCCGAGA
RNAcentral lists this ribosomal RNA (1707 nucleotides) under Salmonella enterica. RNAcentral's name for it is "partial 23S ribosomal RNA". It matches the Rfam family "Bacterial large subunit ribosomal RNA", at positions 1200 to 2804 of the family's 2925-position model. The record is from RNAcentral. Lineage: Bacteria; Pseudomonadati; Pseudomonadota; Gammaproteobacteria; Enterobacterales; Enterobacteriaceae.